CCAUUCUCAGUUCGGAUUGUAGGCUGAAACUCGCCUACAUGAAGCUGGAGUUACUAGUAAUCGCAGAUCAGAAUGCUGCGGUGAAUGCGUUCCCGGGUCUUGUACACACCGCCCGUCACACCACGGAAGUUGGGGGCGCCCGAAGCCACUUAGCUAACCCUUUUGGGAAGCGAGUGUCGAAGGUGAAAUCAAUAACUGGGGUGAAGUCGUAACAAGGUAGC
RNAcentral lists this ribosomal RNA (221 nucleotides) under uncultured bacterium. RNAcentral describes it as "partial 16S ribosomal RNA". It matches the Rfam family "Bacterial small subunit ribosomal RNA", at positions 1282 to 1500 of the family's 1533-position model. The record is from RNAcentral.